AACGAACGCUGGCGGCGCGCCUAAUACAUGCAAGUCGAGCGAGAAGACGUAGCAAUACGUUUGUAAAGCGGCGAACGGGUGAGGAAUACAUGGGUAACCUACCCUCGAGUGGGGAAUAACUAGCCGAAAGGUUAGCUAAUACCGCGUACGCUCCUUGGACUUCGGUUCAGGGAGGAAAGCGAUACCGUGGGUAUCGCGCUCUUGGAUGGGCUCAUGUCCUAUCAGCUUGUUGGUGAGGUAACGGCUCACCAAGGCUUCGACGGGUAGCUGGUCUGAGAGGACGAUCAGCCACACUGGCACUGCGACACGGGCCAGACUCCUACGGGAGGCAGCAGUAAGGAAUAUUGCGCAUGGGCGAAAGCCUGACGCAGCGACGCCGCGUGGGGGAGUGAAGGU
RNAcentral lists this ribosomal RNA (396 nucleotides) under uncultured bacterium. RNAcentral describes it as "bacterial SSU rRNA". It matches the Rfam family "Bacterial small subunit ribosomal RNA", at positions 29 to 415 of the family's 1533-position model. The record is from RNAcentral.